UCGUAUUGAUUUAUUAUGCGGUAUGG
Molecule: small RNA, 26 nt
Filed under: Bombyx mori (domestic silkworm)
Lineage: Eukaryota; Metazoa; Arthropoda; Insecta; Lepidoptera; Bombycidae
Description: ovarian small RNA-29201
Source: RNAcentral